ACGAACGCUGGCGGCGUGCUUAACCCAUGCAAGUCGCACGGAAAGGACCUGCUUUUGUGGGGUGCUCGAGUGGCGAAUGGGUGAGUAACACGUGAGUAACCUGCCCUUGAUUUUGGGAUAACUUUAGGAAAGUGGGGCUAAUACCGGUUAGGAGCUCCUGCUGCAUGGUGGGGGUUGGAAAGUUUCGGCGGUUGGGGAUGGACUCGCGGCUUAUCAGCUUGUUGGUGGGGUAGUGGCUUACCACGGCUUUGACGGGUAGCCGGCCUGAGAGGGUGACCGGGCACAAUGGGACUGAGAGACGGCCCAGACGCCAACGGGAGACAACGGUGGGGAAUAUGGCACAGUGAGCGGGAGCCUGAUGCAGCGACGCCGCGUUCGUGAUGACGGCCUUCUGGUUGUAAACCGCUGUCGCCUAUGACGAAGCGUGAGUGACGGUAAUGAAUAAAGAAGCACCGGCUAACUACGUG
RNAcentral lists this ribosomal RNA (467 nucleotides) under uncultured bacterium. RNAcentral's name for it is "partial 16S ribosomal RNA". It matches the Rfam family "Bacterial small subunit ribosomal RNA", at positions 29 to 507 of the family's 1533-position model. The record is from RNAcentral.